Molecule: unclassified non-coding RNA, 960 nt
Filed under: Hevea brasiliensis (rubber tree)
Lineage: Eukaryota; Viridiplantae; Streptophyta; Magnoliopsida; Malpighiales; Euphorbiaceae
Source: RNAcentral
GGUUCACGUCGCCGGAGUUUUCAUCCUCGUCGGAAUCGCCGUGCUUGCCGCCGUCGAAGGACGUAAUGUUUUGAAACUUCCGUCGGAAGCUUCCAGAUUCUUCGAUGACGCAGAUGACUCUGUUGGAACCAGAUGGGCCGUCCUUCUCGCCGGAUCAAAUGGUUAUUGGAAUUAUAGACAUCAGGCUGAUGUAUGCCAUGCGUAUCAGCUAUUGAGAAAAGGUGGUCUCAAAGAUGAAAAUAUUAUUGUCUUCAUGUAUGAUGACAUUGCUCACCAUGAAGAGAACCCAAGACCAGGAGUUAUUAUUAAUAGUCCUGCCGGUGAGGAUGUUUACGAAGGAGUUCCUAAGGAUUACACGGGAGAUGAUGUUAAUGUGCACAACUUUUUAGCUGUUCUCCUUGGUAACAAAACUGCUCUUACUGGAGGUAGCGGAAAGGUGGUGAAUAGUGGUCCAAAUGAUCAUAUUUUCAUAUUCUAUAGUGAUCAUGGUGGCCCUGGCGUGCUUGGGAUGCCUACCAAUCCUUAUCUAUAUGCCGAUGAUCUAAUUGCUGUGUUGAAAAAGAAGCAUGCCGCUGGGACAUAUAAAAGCUUGGUAUUGUACAUUGAAGCUUGCGAGUCUGGAAGUAUAUUUGAGGGACUUCUUCCUAAUGGUCUAAAUAUUUAUGCCACAACAGCUUCAAAUGCUGAAGAAAGCAGCUGGGGAACCUAUUGUCCUGGAGAAUAUCCUAGUCCUCCUCCUGAAUAUGAGACUUGCUUGGGUGAUUUGUAUGCUGUUUCCUGGAUGGAGGACAGUGAAAUGCACAACUUGCGGACUGAAAAUUUGAGGCAGCAGUAUCACUUGGUCAAAAAGAGAACUGCAAAUGGAAAUACUGCCUAUGGUUCCCAUGUCAUGCAAUUUGGUGAUCUACAACUGAGUAUGGAGUCUCUAUUCAGGUUUAUGGGUACAAAUCCUGCAAAUGA